This 500-nucleotide ribosomal RNA is filed under the name uncultured bacterium. Its description in RNAcentral is "bacterial SSU rRNA". It matches the Rfam family "Bacterial small subunit ribosomal RNA", at positions 355 to 870 of the family's 1533-position model. The record is from RNAcentral.
UGGGGAAUCUUUGGACAAUGGGGGCAACCCUGAUCCAGCCAUGCCGCGUGAGUGAUGAAGGCCUUAGGGUCGUAAAGCUCUUUCGCCUGUGAAGAUAAUGACGGUAGCCGGAGAAGAAGCCCCGGCUAACUCCGUGCCAGCAGCCGCGGUAAUACGGAGGGGGUUAGCGUUGUUCGGAAUUACUGGGCGUAAAGCGCACGUAGGCGGACCAGAAAGUUGGGGGUGAAAUCCCGGGGGCUCAACCCCGGAACUGCCUCCAAAACUAUUGGUCUAGAGUUCGAGAGAGGUGAGUGGAAUUCCAAGUGUAGAGGUGAAAUUCGUAGAUAUUUGGAGGAACACCAGUGGCGAAGGCGGCUCACUGGCUCGAUACUGACGCUGAGGUGCGAAAGUGUGGGGAGCAAACAGGAUUAGAUACCCUGGUAGUCCACACCGUAAAACGAUGAAUGCCAGUCGUCGGGUAGCAUGCUAUUCGGUGACACACCUAACGGAUUAAGCAUUCC